GCUCCAUGAUGAUAUAAAGGCUAAUGUGACUUGACCAGCUGGGUUGCGCCCUCAGCCCAUUCCUGUGUACGGGUCUGUAAUCUUGGUGGGCAGCGCAGAGCCGUGCGUGCUCGCUGUAAGGGCAGGCCGACAGAAAAUCCCCUUCCCCACAUCCCUGGAAGGCAAAUCCUAGGGGUGCAUCAGCUCCGAGCAAGUGCUUCUCGGAGCUGACGGGGGGGCUGCGGGAACAGGAUAGGAGAGUGCUCCCAGGUUUGGGUUGCAGGGGGCAACCCGUGUUACAGCUGGCAAGAUGUGAGCACACAUCUUUGGUAAUCUGAUGGCU
Anser cygnoides (Swan goose) is the source of this 322-nucleotide small nucleolar RNA. Lineage: Eukaryota; Metazoa; Chordata; Aves; Anseriformes; Anatidae. The record is from Ensembl.